AUACGGAGGGUGCAAGCGUUGUUCGGAAUUACUGGGCGUAAAGCGCGUGCAGGCGGUAAGGUAAGUCAGAUGUGAAAGCCCCGGGCUCAACCCGGGAAGUGCAUUUGAUACUGCCUUUCUUGAGUAUGGGAGAGGAGAGUGGAAUUCCCAGUGUAGAGGUGAAAUUCGUAGAUAUUGGGAGGAACACCCGUGGCGAAGGCGACUCUCUGGACCAAUACUGACGCUGAGGCGCGAAAGCGUGGGGAGCGAACAGGAUUAGAAACCCUAGUAGUCC
RNAcentral lists this ribosomal RNA (274 nucleotides) under uncultured bacterium. RNAcentral describes it as "partial 16S ribosomal RNA". It matches the Rfam family "Bacterial small subunit ribosomal RNA", at positions 523 to 796 of the family's 1533-position model. The record is from RNAcentral.